GAACGACGAAUCGAUCGGAGAAGAAGAGCAAUCUCGGAAUCCCGCGAAAACUUGAUCGGCGUAUUGGUCACGGGGACUACAAUGGCGAAGAUUGAACCCAUUGAUGAGGACGAGUCAGAGGACAAGAAGAAGACGAAGAUGAAAAACCGAAACCAUGGAUCCACGAACUUCUUCGUGUUCGUUGAUUAUCUUUUCCUCUUUAUAUUUUUCUGCUUUCUUUGUUAUAUCAUCUUCAAGGUAUUGGGUGUUUGAACGAACCUUCAUCGAUUUGGUUUUUGGUCAUGGUGAUCGUUUUUUCCAAUUCGCUAUGGAUAGACAGAAACUUCAAUUCCAAUAGACUUUUCCAAGACAUCUCUUUGUCCAUUAUCAUCGCAUUGUUUUAGAAGUUUCCAAAUUUGAUUUGUUAAUACAUCGUAGUUGUCGUUGGUUUUGUUAAUGCUAAAUGCUAAUGCUGAGAUUACUUUGAAACUUUGAGAUUUUACAUAUCUUGACAAAAUUUCAGACUUUGUAAAGAGAGUUUCUCUUUUGACUCAAUCAUGGCAAUAAUGAUUCAAUUGAAGAGUUUCUACAUAUUUCUACUCUUUUGUGACUCAAUACAUUUGCAGCAAUGUGAGUCAUUACAUUUUAUUUGGAAAUAUUAUUUUUAGAUAGUAUGUAAGCAAAAGCUCUGGAAUUUAUUCAAUAUCCUCUUAAGUAUAUAUAGAGAGAGAUCAUGAAGAUAUAUGACUAUGAUGAAAUGACUAGUAUACUUGUUAUGUGAACCAGAAUUGAAUACCCUUCUGCAUCUAGCAAAAGCUUAUUUGUUGACAGGUCAUGGUUGUGGCACUGGUGGAACUUCAUCUUCUCCUGAACUCGGACUGCGGGCUUUAUUACUAGGAGUUCCAUUUGAAGUGGCUGGGGCAACAGCAAGGGGAUCUUUGUAAGGAAGGAAUGGCAGCUUAGGUGUGGGAGGUAGCAAGAACCUUCCAAAACCAGGAAUGAGACUAGAUGGUUGAGGCACCAUGUUUACAGGAAAGUCUGAAUGUUUGCUCUCACUGGGAGUGGGGGAAAUGGGAAUGUAACGCAUUCCGGUUACUUCCUCUGUACAUCCAAGAAUCAGGCUUACCAGAACAAUUGUGGCUGUCAGAUUUUGCAGAGUAUAAGCCAUUGUUGUGUUAGUUGAGGAUAAAAGGUAAGAGCUUGAAUGUGUGGUUUGUGGAGGGAAGAUGGAAGAGAUAGUGUGUGUAAUAUAUAGAGUAGAGUGAAAUAGUUAAAGCUAAUUAUGGGUACAUUAAACGAACAUAAACAAAGUGCUUUAUUUACUAAAGAGAGAGAGCCUACAAAGUCUGGUAGCAUCUAUGGUAUUGGCGGUGAAUUAUUGCAUGAUGAUCAGUCAUAACAUUUGCCACACAUGUCUAAUUAGUAAUUUUGGUUGUGAUGGGCUUUUGUGCAACGAGGUUUAUUUGGCUUCACAUACAAGUAACAGAAAAACCGAUGAAGAAGAAGUCAGCGAGAGACGACGGCUUCCACUUUGAAAGAGUUUGAUUUCUUUUACUUUCUCUUUAUUCUUUACGAAGUUGGUAAAACAUAUUUGACCAUUUCUUGAGUUUUCUUCUCCGAUCAAUCUUUUGAUAAUGUUUUAAUAAUUACAUUUACGUGACUAGCGGCAUAUUCUACAGUUGUCUGAUAGAAAUUUGUAAGAAAUCCAUAAAAGUCAAAGAGUGUUUCCGUACUUUUAUUAUCCCCAUGUCGUCGUACUAUUUGAAUGUGUCAAACUUCUAUAGUAGAUAUUUAGUUUAACUUGGAUUACAACAUUGCCGACUGAUCCUGUCACACAUGUCCUUUUAUGUUAAUGAUUCUUUUAAACCAUAUGAAUUAUAAUAUGUAAACAAAAAAGUCAUUGACCCAGUUU
Molecule: long non-coding RNA, 1891 nt
Filed under: Arabidopsis thaliana (thale cress)
Lineage: Eukaryota; Viridiplantae; Streptophyta; Magnoliopsida; Brassicales; Brassicaceae
Description: potential natural antisense gene, locus overlaps with AT4G28160 (AT4G28162)
Source: RNAcentral